RNAcentral lists this small RNA (86 nucleotides) under Arabidopsis thaliana (thale cress). Its description in RNAcentral is "ATSL198710". Lineage: Eukaryota; Viridiplantae; Streptophyta; Magnoliopsida; Brassicales; Brassicaceae. The record is from RNAcentral.
AAUAUAACUUGAUCUCAUGUGUAUGAUUGAGUAUGAGAACUAGAACCGCAACAAGAUCUUAAAAGCCUAAGUAGUGUUUUCUUGUU